AAUCAGGGGCUCAACCCCUGACCUGCAUCCGAUACGGUCCAGCUAGAGUUUGGUAGGGGAGACUGGAAUUCCUGGUGUAGCGGUGGAAUGCGCAGAUAUCAGAGAACACCGAUGCGAAGCAGGUCUCUGGGCCAAUACUGACACUGAGGAGCGAAAGCGUGGGGAGCGAACAGAUUAGAUACCCUGGUAGUCCACGCCGUAAACGGUGGGCGCUAGUUGUGGGGAACUUUCCAUGUUCUCUGUGACGCAGCUAACGCAUUAAGCGCCCCGCCUGGGGAGUACGGCCGCAAGGCUAAAACUCAAAGGAAUUGACGGGGGCCCGCACAAGCGGCGGAGCAUGCGGCUUAAUUCGAUGCAACGCGAAGAACCUUACCUGGGCUUGACAUCAGAUCUAAAACUGCAGAGAUGCAGUGUCCGCAAGGGGGUCUGACAGGUGGUGCAUGGUUGUCGUCAGCUCGUGUCGUGAGAUGUUGGGUUAAGUCCCGCAACGAGCGCAACCCUCGUUCUGUG
RNAcentral lists this ribosomal RNA (510 nucleotides) under uncultured bacterium. Its description in RNAcentral is "bacterial SSU rRNA". It matches the Rfam family "Bacterial small subunit ribosomal RNA", at positions 599 to 1114 of the family's 1533-position model. The record is from RNAcentral.